AGCACUACGAACGGGUGGAGCCUGCGGUUUAAUUGGAUUCAACGCCGGAAAUCUCGACCGGGACGACAGCAAUAUGAAGGUCAGGCUGAAGACCUUACCCGAUUAGCUGAGAGGUGGUGCAUGGCCGUCGUCAGUUCGUACUGUGAAGCAUCCUGUUAAGUCAGGCAACGAGCGAGACCCACGUCCACAGUUGCCAGCAUACCCUCCGGGGUGAUGGGUACACUGUGGAGACCGCCGCUGCUAAAGCGGAGGAAGGAGUGGGCAACGGUAGGUCAGUAUGCCCCGAAUCUCCCGGGCUACACGCGGGCUACAAUGGUUGGUACAAUGGGCAUCUACCCCGAAAGGGGAAGGAAAUCUCUUAAAGCCAAUCGUAGUUCGGAUUGAGGGCUGCAACUCGCCCUCAUGAAGCUGGAAUCCGUAGUAAUCGCGUUUCAACAGAACGCGGUGAAUACGUCCCUGCUCCUU
This 465-nucleotide ribosomal RNA is filed under the name uncultured Methanosaeta sp. RNAcentral's name for it is "bacterial SSU rRNA". It matches the Rfam family "Archaeal small subunit ribosomal RNA", at positions 875 to 1338 of the family's 1478-position model. Lineage: Archaea; Methanobacteriati; Methanobacteriota; Methanomicrobia; Methanotrichales; Methanotrichaceae. The record is from RNAcentral.